RNAcentral lists this unclassified non-coding RNA (248 nucleotides) under Hevea brasiliensis (rubber tree). The record is from RNAcentral. Lineage: Eukaryota; Viridiplantae; Streptophyta; Magnoliopsida; Malpighiales; Euphorbiaceae.
UUAAUGGGUAUUAUUGGCGCCUUGCUGGCCUUGGUUUUGGUUUUAGUUUUGUUUGGAUUUUGUUUUAAGAGAAGAAAACAGAGAUCAGGUGAAAGGCUUAGAAGCACAGGUGACGAUUUCGAGGAGGCUGGACCAAGGAGCUUUUCCUAUGAGGAAUUGGCUAUUGCUACCAAUAACUNNNNNNNNNGCUGGGAAAGGGAGGGUUUGGAAUGGUUUACUUGGGCUCCUUGAGUAAUGGAAAUCCGGAC